AUAAUAGUCCAACAGUAUAUAUAGAAAGGAAAAUCGUUUGUUGGACUUUGGACUUCUAAUCCAAAGGUUGUGUGUUCGAAUCCCACCUGGGAUG
This is a non-coding RNA of Trichonephila clavata, 94 nucleotides long. The record is from the annotation of a GenBank genome assembly. Lineage: Eukaryota; Metazoa; Arthropoda; Arachnida; Araneae; Nephilidae.